This 319-nucleotide ribosomal RNA is filed under the name uncultured Glomus. RNAcentral's name for it is "SSU rRNA". It matches the Rfam family "Eukaryotic small subunit ribosomal RNA", at positions 569 to 893 of the family's 1831-position model. The record is from RNAcentral. Lineage: Eukaryota; Fungi; Glomeromycota; Glomeromycetes; Glomerales; Glomeraceae.
AGCAGCCGCGGUAAUUCCAGCUCCAAUAGCGUAUAUUAAAGUUGUUGCAGUUAAAAAGCUCGUAGUUGAAUUUCGGGGUUAGUAGGUUGGUCAUGCCUCUGGUAUGUACUGGUCUCACUGAUUCCUCCUUCCUGAUGAGCCGUAAUGCCAUUAAUUUGGUGUUGCGGGGAAUCUGGACUGUUACUUUGAAAAAAUUAGAGUGUUUAAAGCAGGCUAACGCUUGAAUACAUUAGCAUGGAAUAAUGAAAUAGGACGUUCGAUCCUAUUUUGUUGGUUUCUAGGAUGACGUAAUGAUUAAUAGGGAUAGUUGGGGGCAUUA